This 1617-nucleotide ribosomal RNA is filed under the name seawater metagenome. RNAcentral's name for it is "bacterial LSU rRNA". It matches the Rfam family "Bacterial large subunit ribosomal RNA", at positions 918 to 2522 of the family's 2925-position model. The record is from RNAcentral.
GCUAGGGGGUCAUCCCGACUUACCAACCCUUUGCAAACUCCGAAUACCAAUGAGUGAUAUGCGGGAGACACACUACGGGUGCUAACGUCCGUUGUGAAGAGGGAAACAACCCAGACCGCCAGCUAAGGUCCCAAAGUACUAGUUAAGUGGGAAACGAUGUGGAAAGGCAUAGACAGCUAGGAGGUUGGCUUAGAAGCAGCCAUCCUUUAAAGAAAGCGUAAUAGCUCACUAGUCGAGUCGGUCUGCGCGGAAGAUGUAACGGGGCUAAACUAGUCACCGAAGCUGCGGAUUCAUCAUUUAUGAUGAGUGGUAGGGGAGCGUUCUGUAAGCCGUUGAAGGUGUGUUGUAAAGCAUGCUGGAGGUAUCAGAAGUGCGAAUGCUGACAUGAGUAACGAUAAGGGGAGUGAAAAACUCCCCCGCCGAAAGACCAAGGUUUCCUGUCCCAUGUUAAUCAGGGCAGGGUAAGUCGGCCCCUAAGGCGAGGCGGAAACGCGUAGUCGAUGGGAAACAGAUUAAUAUUUCUGUACUUCUAUAUAUUGCGAAGGAGGGACGGAGUAGGCUAGGUGAGCACGGCGUUGGUAGUCCGUGUGAAAGUAUGUAGGCGGUUGACUUAGGUAAAUCCGGGUCUUCAUUAACGCUGAGAUACGAGACGAGUGUCCAAGGACAUGAAGUCAUUGAUGCCAUGCUUCCAGGAAAAGCUUCUAAGCUUCAGAUAUAUAGGAACCGUACCCCAAACCGACACAGGUGGUUAGGUAGAGAAUACUAAGGCGCUUGAGAGAACUCGGGUGAAGGAACUAGGCAAAAUAGUACCGUAACUUCGGGAGAAGGUACGCUCUCUAAUGUGAAUGACUUGCUCAGUAAGCAUCGGAGAGUCGAAGUAACCAGGUGGCUGGAACUGUUUAUUAAAAACACAGCACUGUGCAAAAUCGAAAGAUGACGUAUACGGUGUGACGCCUGCCCGGUGCCGGAAGGUUAAUUGAUUGGGUUAGCUCUGCGAAGCUCAUGAUCGAAGCCCCGGUAAACGGCGGCCGUAACUAUAACGGUCCUAAGGUAGCGAAAUUCCUUGUCGGGUAAGUUCCGACCUGCACGAAUGGCGUAACGAUGGCCACACUGUCUCCACCCGAGACUCAGUGAAAUUGAAUUUGCGGUUAAGAUGCCGUAUACCCGCGGCUAGACGGAAAGACCCCGUGAACCUUUACUAUAGCUUGACAGUGAACAUUGCUCCUACAUGUGUAGGAUAGGUGGGAGGCUUUGAAACUUUGUCGCCAGAUGAAGUGGAGCCAACCUUGAAAUACCACCCUUGUAUGCGUGAUGUUCUAACCUAGGGCCCUAAUCGGGCUUGGGGACACUGUCUGGUGGGUAGUUUGACUGGGGCGGUCUCCUCCCAAAGAGUAACGGAGGAGCACGAAGGUUGGCUAAGUACGGUCGGACAUCGUACGGUUAGUGUAAUGGUAGAAGCCAGCUUAACUGCGAGACAGACACGUCGAGCAGGUACGAAAGUAGGUCAUAGUGAUCCGGUGGUUCUGUAUGGAAGGGCCAUCGCUCAACGGAUAAAAGGUACUCCGGGGAUAACAGGCUGAUACCGCCCAAGAGUUCAUAUCGACGGCGGUGUUUGGC